This is a long non-coding RNA of Canis lupus familiaris (dog), 1177 nucleotides long. RefSeq lists it as uncharacterized. The transcript has 8 exons. Lineage: Eukaryota; Metazoa; Chordata; Mammalia; Carnivora; Canidae. The record is from RefSeq and is a predicted model, not a curated record.
CUUUUCCUAACAACUGUGGCCUGUAAGACUGUGAUGACUGUCAGCCACAUUUUAUUAAUUCAGGAGGGUGCUGAGUCACAGGAAGCCGUGGUGUAACACCACAUAUUCUGUCUUCAUCUGUUCAGAUUGCUGUAACAAAAUACCAUAGACUGGAUGUUUUAUAAAUAACCAACAUUUCUCACAGUGCUGGAGCCUGAGAAGUCCAAGAUCAAGAUGCCAGAAGAUUCAGGGUCUGUGAGAGCCUGGUUCCUGGUACCUAGAGGGACAUCUUGUAGCUGUAUACUUACGUGAUGAAAGGGAGACAUGGCGCUGAAGGUCCAGGAUAGAGAAGAUAAUUGAUGGAGGAAAUCAUAAAAGAAGGCACUUGACUCAGUGCAUCAAUGGGAAAGGAAAGACCACUCUACUCUCUAAGACUAAAAGGAAGGAGAUGAAUUGUGGGCAUUCGACUUGUCACUCUUAUGAAAUGCCAGGCCUGCUCAGAGAUUGACUGACACAGUACGGUUGGCAUCUCACUGGAAGGCCCAUGCCAGAAAACAUGUGGAAGACAUGAAACCUGACAACUUAAAAAAGUUGACGUCAUUACUCCAAUAUAAGAUGGAUGUAGCUGAUGCUGCUACCCUUCCUUCACUUCUUCCUGCCUUGAAUCUGGCUGUGAUGCCUGGGGUUUCAGCAGCCGUCUUAUGACCAUGAGAUGAUGAGUGUGAGGAUGAAAAACAGCCCACUGACCCUGGACAGAAGAAAAACAAUAAAUCUGGGUCUCCAAUGACAACAAUGGAUGGCAAACAGUAUGGCACCGAACAAGCAUUCAGCUACCUCAAGAAAGGAAAGAAAGAAUGAAAGAAGGAAGGAUCAAAGUUCAUGAGAACAGAAAUCUCAAAUUUGAAGUUAAACUUGGGUUGUCCUGUGACUUUGUUUUCUAUCUUGUGGUAGUGAUAUUUUCCCUGCCAGCCUUAGAUAAUGAGAACCACUUGAAGAGUGUUCUGAGCUGGAAGGUGACAUCAUGCAAACUGUUUUUAGGAAGAUUAAUUUGGUACCAGUUCACCAGAUGGACUGGGAAGAGGCAAACCCAGAACAAGGUGGUCCAGCCAGAAAAGCAUGGAGAACUGAGAAAAAAAAAAAAAAUGAUGUGGAGAGAGAGAAGGGAAGAAGGGAGGAUUUUAAAGGCCAUCCCAGGAAA